RNAcentral lists this long non-coding RNA (553 nucleotides) under Coccomyxa subellipsoidea. RNAcentral's name for it is "long non-coding RNA (CSUB_LNC000561)". The record is from RNAcentral. Lineage: Eukaryota; Viridiplantae; Chlorophyta; Trebouxiophyceae; Coccomyxaceae.
CAACCCAGCUUCCGGGUUCGAGAACGGAAAUCCUAGAUAUAAACCUUGCAAGGAAUGUACCAAUUGAGGAUAUCUUCUGGGUUUGACUCCUGCAAGCAACAUUGUGACACCAGGCCAAACCAACACUGAGCGCAAAAGGGAGUUUUUGCCAGAUCUCGUGUUUACAUCAGAGCUCCAGAAGUUUUGAUCUCGGAGGUGUGGCUGGGAUUUGCAGGUCAAAUGGCUGCUUCAAUACUACCGACAGACAAAAGAGUACUUCUAAUCCCAAUUGAUGACAGUGAGGUGAGUUGCUUUACCCACAUGCUUGUGAUACCCAUCGCAUGCUUUCGUUUGUCUUCUUGAAAGUACACUACUGACGCUAGCAAGACUUCUACUUAGAUGAUCGCUUGAAAAUUUGGCAAUAUGCGCAGAAGCAUUCAUUCACGGUCACGUGUGCGACGUGCAGGACGCAGAAAAAUCGGUUUCAUGGACGCUGCAGAACCUAUACAGACCAGGCAUGCAGAUGCAGGCAUCAAUACCGUACAACACAAAAAUAGCGCUUCAAAUCGUAGCC